This 41-nucleotide ribosomal RNA is filed under the name Trichophyton mentagrophytes. Its description in RNAcentral is "partial 18S ribosomal RNA". The record is from RNAcentral. Lineage: Eukaryota; Fungi; Ascomycota; Eurotiomycetes; Onygenales; Arthrodermataceae.
CCAAAGAACCUUCCGUAGGUGAACCUGCGGAAGGAUCAUUA